This 408-nucleotide long non-coding RNA is filed under the name Medicago truncatula (barrel medic). RNAcentral's name for it is "lncRNA gene17572". Lineage: Eukaryota; Viridiplantae; Streptophyta; Magnoliopsida; Fabales; Fabaceae. The record is from RNAcentral.
AUGAUUGAUUCAUUUCUAAAAAGGUGGGUAUAUUUUUCAAAAGUGAGACAACCAAAUCAACUAUUAAAAAAAAAAAAGUCUAAAUCAUAAAGAGUGUUCAAGAACAUGUCAAGAAAGGUGUUGCAAGCAUUCAUCUGAUAUAAAUGCUCCUUGGUAGCUAGCUAAUAUCGGUUAAACUGAGUCAUCAGAGUCAUCAGAGUCACUCCUGUCAGCAUCCCCAGCGUUUGUAUGAGUCUCUGGAACAUCAUUCUUUGAUGCGGAUGUAGCUGCAGGUUUUUUAUUAGCACCUCGAGCAUUCUCACCACCUUCUUGCUCAGCUACUUCCACAUGAUAUCAAUAUUUUCAGCCGUUCCUCCAGCAAUGAUUUUGAGAAGAUCUUUCUCAACACGAGAGACAAGCUCAGGCUGG